Molecule: unclassified non-coding RNA, 249 nt
Filed under: rhizosphere metagenome
Description: partial ribosomal RNA internal transcribed spacer region
Source: RNAcentral
GUAGGUGAACCUGCGGAAGGAUCAUUACAUUCAGUAGCUUGCUACUGGUCGGGAGGUGCUGUAACUCCGCAUAGUAUUCAUUUACUGAUGAGCGGCCGGCCCUCUGUCUGUACCCUUGUCUUUUGCGCACUCAUGUUUCCUCGGCGGGCUUGCCCGCCGAUUGGACAAAACUAUAACCUUUUUAAUUUUCAAUCAGCGUCUGAAAAAACUUAAUAAUUACAACUUUCAACAACGGAUCUCUUGGUUCUG